UAAUGUUGAAAAAUUAGCGGAUGACCUGUGGCUGGGGGUGAAAGGCCAAUCAAACCGGGAGAUAGCUGGUUCUCCCCGAAAGCUAUUUAGGUAGCGCCUCGUGAAUUCAUCUCCGGGGGUAGAGCACUGUUUCGGCUAGGGGGCCAUCCCGGCUUACCAACCCGAUGCAAACUGCGAAUACCGGAGAAUGUUAUCACGGGAGACACACGGCGGGUGCUAACGUCCGUCGUGAAGAGGGAAACAACCCAGACCGCCAGCUAAGGUCCCAAAGUCAUGGUUAAGUGGGAAACGAUGUGGGAAGGCCCAGACAGCCAGGAUGUUGGCUUAGAAGCAGCCAUCAUUUAAAGAAAGCGUAAUAGCUCACUGGUCGAGUCGGCCUGCGCGGAAGAUGUAACGGGGCUAAACCAUG
Molecule: ribosomal RNA, 409 nt
Filed under: Salmonella enterica
Lineage: Bacteria; Pseudomonadati; Pseudomonadota; Gammaproteobacteria; Enterobacterales; Enterobacteriaceae
Description: partial 23S ribosomal RNA
Rfam family: Bacterial large subunit ribosomal RNA
Source: RNAcentral